RNAcentral lists this ribosomal RNA (288 nucleotides) under bacterium D02. RNAcentral describes it as "partial 16S ribosomal RNA". It matches the Rfam family "Bacterial small subunit ribosomal RNA", at positions 67 to 345 of the family's 1533-position model. The record is from RNAcentral.
CGGUGAUCCCAGCUUGCUGGGCGGAUCAGUGGCGAACGGGUGAGUAACACGUGAGUAACCUGCCCCAGACUCCGGGAUAAGCCUUGGAAACGAGGUCUAAUACUGGAUACGAGAUGCCCCUGCAUGGGGAGUGUCUGGAAAGAUUUAUCGGGUCUGGGAUGGACUCGCGGCCUAUCAGCUUGUUGGUGGGGUAAUGGCCUACCAAAGGCGACGACGUGGUAUGCCUGGCCUGAGAGUUGUGCGACCUGGCACACUGGGACUGAAGGACACGGCCCAGACUCCUACGUG